Molecule: transfer RNA, 78 nt
Filed under: Lupinus albus (white lupine)
Lineage: Eukaryota; Viridiplantae; Streptophyta; Magnoliopsida; Fabales; Fabaceae
Description: tRNA-Glu
Rfam family: tRNA
About the family: Transfer RNA (tRNA) molecules are approximately 80 nucleotides in length. Their secondary structure includes four short double-helical elements and three loops (D, anti-codon, and T loops).
Source: RNAcentral
AUCCGUUGUAGUCUAGUUGGUCAGGAUAUUCGGCUCUCACCCGAAAGACCCGGGUUCAAGUCCCGGCAACGGAAUACG